Molecule: non-coding RNA, 86 nt
Organism: Brachypodium distachyon (stiff brome)
Lineage: Eukaryota; Viridiplantae; Streptophyta; Magnoliopsida; Poales; Poaceae
Source: Rfam
GAAUUAUCAUGAGUUCCUUGCAAGCACUUCAUGAGGCACUAUCCCAAGGGCUACUAUGAAGUGUUUGGGGGAACUCUUGAUAUCAC